UACGUAGGGUGCGAGCGUUAAUCGGAAUUACUGGGCGUAAAGCGUGCGCAGGCGGUUUUGUAAGCCAGAUGUGAAAGCCCCGGGCUUAACCUGGGAAUGGCAUUUGGGACUGCAAGGCUUGAGUGCGGCAGAGGAGACUGGAAUUCCUGGUGUAGCAGUGAAAUGCGCAGAUAUCAGGAAGAACACCCGUGGCUAAGGCGGCUCUCUAGUACGGUACUGACGCUGAGACGCGAAAGCGUGGGGAGCGAACAGG
This 253-nucleotide ribosomal RNA is filed under the name uncultured bacterium. RNAcentral's name for it is "partial 16S ribosomal RNA". It matches the Rfam family "Bacterial small subunit ribosomal RNA", at positions 524 to 776 of the family's 1533-position model. The record is from RNAcentral.